RNAcentral lists this ribosomal RNA (595 nucleotides) under uncultured Bacteroidota bacterium. Its description in RNAcentral is "bacterial SSU rRNA". It matches the Rfam family "Bacterial small subunit ribosomal RNA", at positions 122 to 715 of the family's 1533-position model. Lineage: Bacteria; Pseudomonadati; Bacteroidota. The record is from RNAcentral.
CAACCUGCCGUCUACUCUUGGACAGCCUUCUGAAAGGAAGAUUAAUACAAGAUGGCAUCAUGAGUCCGCAUGUUCACAUGAUUAAAGGUAUUCCGGUAGACGAUGGGGAUGCGUUCCAUUAGAUAGUAGGCGGGGUAACGGCCCACCUAGUCUUCGAUGGAUAGGGGUUCUGAGAGGAAGGUCCCCCACAUUGGAACUGAGACACGGUCCAAACUCCUACGGGAGGCAGCAGUGAGGAAUAUUGGUCAAUGGACGAGAGUCUGAACCAGCCAAGUAGCGUGAAGGAUGACUGCCCUAUGGGUUGUAAACUUCUUUUAUAUGGGAAUAAAGUAUUCCACGUGUGGGAUUUUGUAUGUACCAUAUGAAUAAGGAUCGGCUAACUCCGUGCCAGCAGCCGCGGUAAUACGGAGGAUCCGAGCGUUAUCCGGAUUUAUUGGGUUUAAAGGGAGCGUAGGUGGAUUGUUAAGUCAGUUGUGAAAGUUUGCGGCUCAACCGUAAAAUUGCAGUUGAAACUGGCAGUCUUGAGUACAGUAGAGGUGGGCGGAAUUCGUGGUGUAGCGGUGAAAUACUUAGAUAUCACGAAGAACUCCGAUUG